GGACCCGCACAAGCGGUGGAGCGUGAUCUUUAAUUCGAUGGUAAACGAUAAACCUUACCAAGGCUUGACAUCCGAGGAAGGCUCUCGAAAGAGAACUGUGCCUUUUAGGAACCUCGAGACAGGUGAUGCAUGGCCGUCGUCAGCUCGUGUCGUGAGAUGUUUGGUUAAGUCCAUCAACGAGCGCAACCCUUGUUGUCAGUUGUAUUUUUCUGACGAUACUGCCCCGGUAACGGGGAGGAAGGAGGGGAUGAUGUCAGGUCAGUAUUUCCCUUACGCCUUGGGCGAGAAUCGCGCUACAAUGGCCAGUACAAUGCGAAGCAAAGCAGCAAUGUGAAGCAAAUCGCACCAAAGCUGGUCCCAGUUCAGAUUGGAGGCUGAAACUCGCCUCCAUGAAGUCGGAAUCGCUAGUAAUCGCACGAUCAAGCAUGUUG
RNAcentral lists this ribosomal RNA (431 nucleotides) under uncultured bacterium. RNAcentral's name for it is "bacterial SSU rRNA". It matches the Rfam family "Bacterial small subunit ribosomal RNA", at positions 917 to 1359 of the family's 1533-position model. The record is from RNAcentral.